AUUGAACGCUGGCGGCAGGCCUAACACAUGCAAGUCGAGCGGAUGACGGGAGCUUGCUCCUUGAUUCAGCGGCGGACGGGUGAGUAAUGCCUAGGAAUCUGCCUGGUAGUGGGGGACAACGUUUCGAAAGGAACGCUAAUACCGCAUACGACCUACGGGAGAAAGCAGGGGACCUUCGCGCCUUGCGCUAUCAGAUGGGCCUAGGUCGGAUUAGCUAGUUGGUGGGGUAAUGGCUCACCAAGGCGACGAUCCGUAACUGGUCUGAGAGGAUGAGCAGUCACACUGGAACUGAGACACGGUCCAGACUCCUACGGGAGGCAGCAGUGGGGAAUAUUGGACAAUGGGCGAAAGCCUGAUCCAGCCAUGCCGCGUGUGUGAAGAAGGUCUUCGGAUUGUAAAGCACUUUAAGUUGGGAGGAAGGGCAGUAAGCUAAUACCUUGCUGUUUUGACGUUACCGACAGAAUAAGCACCGGCUAACUCUGUGCCAGCAGCCGCCGCCG
RNAcentral lists this ribosomal RNA (500 nucleotides) under uncultured bacterium. RNAcentral's name for it is "partial 16S ribosomal RNA". It matches the Rfam family "Bacterial small subunit ribosomal RNA", at positions 30 to 523 of the family's 1533-position model. The record is from RNAcentral.